GACGAACGCUGGCGGCGCGCUUAACACAUGCAAGUCGAACGGAAAGGCCUGCUUUCCCUUGUGGAUUGCGGGUACUCGAGUGGCGAACGGGUGAGUAACACGUGAGUGAUCUGCCCCCAACUUGGGUAUAAGCCUGGGAAACUGGGUCUAAUUCCCGAUAGGACUGCAGGGUGGUGCCUGUGGUGGAAAACGAUUUUCUAGUGGUUGGGGAUGAGCUCGCGGCCUAUCAGCUUGUUGGUGGGGUAAUGGCCUACCAAGGCGGCGACGGGUAGCCGGCCUGAGAGGAGGGACGGCCACAUUGGGACUGAGAUACGGCCCAGACGCCUACGGGAGGCAGCAGUGGGGAAUAUAUCACAAUGGGCGGAAGCCUGAUGCAGCGACGCCGCGUGGGGGAUGACGGCCUUCGGGUUGUAAACUCCUUUCGACCGCGAGGAAGCCACCUGGUUGGAAGGGUGGUGACGGUAGUGGUAGAAGAAGCACCGGCUAACUACGUG
RNAcentral lists this ribosomal RNA (494 nucleotides) under uncultured bacterium. RNAcentral's name for it is "partial 16S ribosomal RNA". It matches the Rfam family "Bacterial small subunit ribosomal RNA", at positions 28 to 507 of the family's 1533-position model. The record is from RNAcentral.